GUCUAUAACCAUACCACCCUGAACAUGCCAGAUCUUGUCUGAUCCCGGAAGCUAAGCAGGGUCUGGCCUGGUUGGUACUUUGAUGGGAGGAGAGGUGAGGAGGAUGCUUCCCAUGAGCCAAGGAGUACAAAGAUC
This 135-nucleotide ribosomal RNA is filed under the name Peromyscus maniculatus bairdii (prairie deer mouse). Lineage: Eukaryota; Metazoa; Chordata; Mammalia; Rodentia; Cricetidae. The record is from RNAcentral.